AGGUUGCCAGCCCCUCAUGCUCUUCUGUCCUCACCCAGGUGGGGUCCCGGUCAGUGGGCCCUCAGCCUCCGAUCCCUGGACACCGGCCCCGGCCUUUUCAGAUCCCUGGGGAGGGUCACCUGCCAAGCCCAGCACCAAUGGCACAACAGCCGGGGGAUUCGACACGGAGCCCGACGAGUUCUCUGACUUUGACCGACUCCGCACGGCACUGCCGACCUCCGGGAGCAGCGCAGGUGAGCCCCUGCCCUCCUUCCCAGUGGCCAGAGAGAGCCUCCCCUAGCUCUUCGGGAGCCCCGUCCCUUGCUGUCUUUGUCCCACUCCAGGCAGGGCCGGCUGGACUUAGGGAUGAAAAGUUCAGUUGGGUAGAGUGGGCCAGAACCAUCCACCUGUCUUUGAAAGAAGUGUGCAUCUUUAUUUUAGAGAAAUUGCAGACUUAGAGAAAAACUGAGACUUGUUCUCAAGGUUUCCCACCCGAAUGUUGACCUCUGACCCGUCUCUGCCUCCACGUCGCUUGAGUGCCUUGCAAACUCUCCAGGUGUCUCAAAGAACACGGACUGUCUUGUCCUGUGCAGUGAGCUGCG
RNAcentral lists this small RNA (581 nucleotides) under Pan troglodytes (chimpanzee). RNAcentral's name for it is "retained intron". Lineage: Eukaryota; Metazoa; Chordata; Mammalia; Primates; Hominidae. The record is from RNAcentral.